UCGGUUCCUUCCUGAAUUGCUCCCGUGGCUCCUGGAGGCGGGAGAACUCAGCGCUCACCCUGGUCCUGAGUUUCUGAGAACACAGAACUGCAAACCACAUCACAAACAUUUUCAAAGGAGUCUUAUCUGUAGAAAUAGUCUUCCAAAGAGAAAUGUCAGAUCCUUCCCCCACAAAAUGGUUUAAAAAGCCAGCAACACGUUAGCAGAAACUGAAGGAAAUCAUUUUAUCAGGUGGCGUAGCAAUAGAGAAGGGGAUUUCUUACUGAGUCUAAUACUAGGAAAUGUAAGCUCUGGGAUUGUUUGUCAAGAAACUAAAUGAAAUCCUUUCAGCAGGUGGCACAGCUGAGAGCUGGACCCAGAAUGGCCCGUGAACAUAGCACAGAUUAGAACUUGAGAAAGAAAGAUCCAGGAGUGUCCUACAGUGUCUCCUAGGCAAAGGUCCAUGCGGCAGAAGCCCUGACUCAGAGUAGCCACCCCACUAACCUCUACUGAGCCCUUACCACAUGCCUUGUCUGGGGACCAUCUCACUGAAGCCCCCCAACAGCCCCACGAGAAAGGUGCUGUCAUCAGGCCCUUUGAGAGACGAGGAAACGGAGCCUCAGAGAAGUCAAGUGAGCAACUCAGGGUCACGUGGCCAGGAGGCCAGGUGCCCCUCAGCUUCAGGGGGCAGGGGACAGAGAGAGGGGCUGACAUGUGUGACUUCCAAAGAGCCUAUAGGACUGAGUCUCUCAGGGCAGCCGUGGGCUUGGUGUGGCCUCUUCUGCCAGCCUGCCUCCCAAGCUCAGCGCCUACCUUGGGCCUCCAGGUUCGUACCAUCUGCCCGGUGGUCUGUCCGUCCUGGCUGAGCCUGCCUCAAGGAGGUGCUGGCCCAUGGCAGGUGGCUCAGAUAGAGGCUGAGGGGACAGACAGCAGAGGGGUGCUGGGAGAGCUCAGGUGGGCUUCCAUCUCCUGGUCACACACCAUGUUCCUGACUGGAGCCUUCUGAACCCUCCUCCCUCUGCCAGACGCAGGCUCCUCCUCUCCACACUCUGAGGCUCUCUCCUGCCCACCUCUCCCGGGAGUGGCCAAUCGAAGGCUGAAUGGUUUAAAUGAGAAGGGCCACAGUGACGGCAAUGGGAGCCCUGGUUAUCCCACCUGAUCCAGGACGGGGCAGGGAUAAGCAAACUGCAGGAAGUCCCCCAGAGCCCAGAGCUACUCCCAGUCACCAAGGGUUAAUGUGUGUGUACCCCACGAGCCAAGGUUACCCUUUUCUGCCCACGCUGAAUAGCUCAGGCACAGCACAGGGCUUGUUGCUCAGAAGGCCUGCUCACUGAAUUGCCUACUGUCUGCCUGGUGCUCCCCUAACAAUCACCAACAGAGGCAGGGCCGCCAGGGCUGGCGGCUGGAGGGGGCAGGGGAUGCCGGAGCUUUGGCCCAGGUCCCUCUGCAGAUUCCUCCAGAGAUGCCACUCGGUACCAGCUCCGGCCUGAUGGGCCGACAGGGGUGAUGCUGGGGUGAGGGGGCGGGCGGAGACUUGACCUAUAGGAGGAGACUCUUCUGCAUGGCAGGGAGAGUGAUUUGAGGCUUGGUCAGAACCACAGGCCUCUUCAGAGAGCUGACGUGCUGUCUAAUAAAGGUUGAGUGUAGAGGGUUAGUGGGCCUGUGACAUGAUGCCAGCGAUGGUGGCAUGAGAAAUAUGCACAGGCCUCCCUCGCCCCCAGCUCAUCAGGCAAGGCACUGGCCACAGGCAGAGAAAACAAGAGCCACAAAGCAAGAUGAGGGGCCUCAGCAGGGUCCCAGUGCAGCUGCUGGACAAAAGGCUCACUGGAAUAAAUGCAGGAGAGUCAGGGUGCCAAGAAGCAGUGGAAGCUGAACAGAGAGAUCAGUCCAAGGCUGGCAUUCCUAGAUGCAUGUGUGAAAAUGCCUUGAAAAGCAGAGAGUUUCUGCAUGUUCAGGAUGGCCCCAGAGAAGUUCCUGGGAGCUGGUUAGAGUGACUCCCAAGCUGCAACUAUUGCCGAGCUGCAUCCUGGGUGAGGAUGCAGACCUCCAAGGGGAUUGUGUAGUGGGAGCGCCAGCAAAGGUCAAGCCAAAGUCUGCGGCCAGGGAAUGCUGCUGUGUGUCCAGUGCUUUCCCUGCCGACAAGAGAGCUAAGGAGCAAUGGCGGGCUCCUGCACUCUGGGCAGUGGGGAGGCAGGGGGCUGAGAAGCUCCUUCUCCCCCAACCAGGCACCCUCCAGAGCUCGACAAGGAGAAACAAGAGAAGGUGGGCACAGGAGGACUGUGGAUUGGAACUUAGAUAUAUUUGACUCGUUAUAUUUAAAAAUUUUAGUAGCUACUUGUUAUAUAUGAGGAGUAUUAUAUUACUAUGAUAGGUAUUAAUACAUAAUAGUAUAUUCUUAGAAGAUGAUAUAUAUACUUAUCUUAUGAUCAAGGAUUAUACUCCCUCCGCCCUAACAGUCCUUCACAAUGGGUAGGAUACUUUACUGUGGAGAGAACACGUAGCUGCUGCAGAGCCAGAAUUUGAACCCAGGUCUGCAAAUCCAAAGCCUGUGCUGUCUGCACUUCACCAGAUUGUUCUGAAGGACCCCAGAGGUGUCAAGGCUUCCCUGGAAGCAGAGCCUCUGGCCAACCAGAGCAGCCCAGCCAAGGCCAAACGGCCACUCGCAGACAAUGCUGUUAGGCAAGCAUCUUGUACCGGGUGUGGACACAGCAGGUCCCACUGAUGGGAGAUGUCAGACCAGUUUAACACCUGAUUUGAGAGAGAUGGACAUUUUAGGGAUUGAAUCUUAGCCGCAUCACAUGUUAGUUUCCAGGUGAGGCAUGAAAAAUCUUUCCGUUGCACACAGACUCAUUUGGAACGAUUUGUCAGAAUGGCACUGGGCCUGGAAUCUGGUCCAAAGAGCUGGAGGUCACCUCCCUGCCUUCCUGGGCUUUCUUCCUUCCUCAGCAGCCACCUGUGGUCAUGCACGCUGGGCACACCCCUUCAGAAGUGCUUCCUUAAACAGAACCAGAAGCUCCCUCCUUCUGGACCUGGUUCUGCGCGGAACAGCACGUAUCAAACCUCAUCCGUGUACAGCCCUUCAGAGAAGCUGGUGUCCACCCAUUCAUCUCCCAACAUGUGCCUGAGCACCUGCUGGGCUAAGCACUGGAGAUAUAAAAUGAAUUAUGCCCAUAAAAUGCUCAUAACUUAGUGGAGAGAAAUGAGUAAAACGGCAGCCACAGUUCAGUGUGACAAAGGUGAUGUGGAGGGCAGGGUGGGAGCCUUGAACCCAGCCUGGGUGGGGCUGAAGGGCGUCUGCAGAGGCUUCUCAUAGGAGGUGACGCAUGGGCUGAAUCUCCAAGGAUGAGGAAGGCAGGGAGGGAAUUCCAGUGAAGGAAGCAUGAGCAAGAUUAGGAGGAUGCAGGGGAGGGGUGGGGAAGGGUGAGGAACGUGGUGCUCUAAGAAGCCACAGUGGUUUGUUUUGACCCCGUACAGGGUGAUGGGGAGACAAGGCAGGGAUGUGGCUGGCAGGGCCGGGUCUCAAGGGACCAUAAGUGUCAUGCUAGGGGUCUGGACUUUGUCUAAGGGUAAAGAGGCAUCAUAGAAAGGUUUUAAGAGAGUGUAGAGGCAAGGAGUUGGGGUGGGAGGCUGAAGCAGUCAUUGGGCAAAAGAUGAUACGGCAGUGGGGGAUUAAGAGCAGUGAACUGACCCAAGACAUAGAUAGAUAGACAGACAGACAGACAGAUUUUUUUUAAUUGAGGUGAGAUAUAUAACAUAAAAUUAACCAUUUUAAAGUGAACAAUGGCAUUGAGUACAUUCAGUGGCAUUUAGUACUUUCACAAUGCUGUGCAACCACCACCUCUGUCUAGUUGCAAAACAUUUUCAUCACUCCAAAAGGAAACACCAUACCCAUUGAGCAGUCACUCUUCAUUUCCUCCUCCCGUGGUCCCCGACAACCACCAGUCUACUUUCUAUCUCUAUACAUUUGCCUAUUCUGGACAUUCCAUACAAAUGGAAUCAUACAAUAUGUGGUCUUUUGUGUCUGGCUUCUUUUGCUUUGCCAAGAGAUAGUAAAGAGAGGAGCUGAUAGAGCUUGGUGACUGGAUGCAGGAGAGAGGGAUAACUUAAGCCUUGGUAAUGUAUGGAUGUCGACACCCCUUACUGGGGAAGGAACCCAAGAGGAGCAGCCUGGGGUAAUUGGGUGGGCAGGAAGAAAGAGGAAGAUGACUGGCCUCGUUUGGAAGCUGUUGACUUUGAGGGGCCCAUGGGCAGCUGUGUGGAGAUGCUCAGUAGCAAGUGGCUGUCCAGGGUUGGGUUGGAGGUAUAGAUCUGGGGGUCAUCAGCAGGUGAGUGUGGCUGACAUCCUGGACAGAGCAGAGAGCAUGUGAGAGUGGAGGGUCAAGGCUUUGACCCUGGGAACAGAGGCAGAGUUUCUACAGUGGAGCCUGACAAAGGGCAUGUAGAGAAGAGGAGAAAAGUCAAGUGUCCCAGCAGGCAGGAAGUGGAGGUGUGUAUUCUAACCUUGUUGGUCUCAGGUCCUUUGAGAAUCUGAAAAAUUGUGGACUCACUCCUCAGGAAAAUGCACACAGAUGCAUCGUUUGGGAUAUCAUUUCAGCAUGUUCACAGACACCCUGAAAUCCAACUGAGGACCCUCUGGGUGUUCAUAAACCUCAGGUUAGGAACCUAUCCAGUUGCAGAUUCAAGAAGAGAGUAGUUACCAAGGUCAUAUACCACAGCCAAGUUAGAGAUGAAUUGAAAAAAUUGCUUAGAUUUGGCAAGAAACGCAUCAUGAAUGGCUUUCAUAGUUCUUUGCAGAAGAUAGACUUUAGGGGCUUGAGAAGCAAACGGAAAGUGGUAGAGACUUGAGUCUAGCCUACCUUUUCAGGAGGCUUGGCUAUGAAGGGACGGAGUCUAUGAUAGGAAUGUCUUAAAGAUGAGCAGAAGAGCCGGUGGAGAAGGAGAAGUUGAAGAUGCCCAGAGGGGUUGGUUGGGAUGGAGGGGCUCUGCGGGAGGCAGGCUGAGGGCUGUGCACCACCUAGUGGGCUGAGCUGGACAAGUAAUAGAAGCUGUCUGUACCUCUGCAUCCUCACUCAUAUGGGCAAUGCUAGUGCUUCCCUCGUAAGGUUGGAGUGAGAUGAAGUAUGAAAGAAUCCAUGUAAAGCAGUUGAAUGGUGCCUGGCAUGUAGGUACUGAUCAAUACACAUCUGCAAUGAUUAUUGUUAACAUUACCACCACCAUCCAGUGCCCAGGUACCUGGGUGCACGCCUCUUCCCUGAAGAGCAAGAAGGAAGUUCCAGGGUGGGGGCAGGAUUGGAUAUGGUUGAAGGUGGAAGGGAGGCUGUGAAGGAAGCCAUUCUCCCUCUCCCUCUCUUCCUCCCAAGGCCUCUUUUCUCUGUGAAAUAGGAGGCUAGCUAGAAGAAGGGGGGGAUGUUUGAGGGCAGUGAGGAGGCAGCUGGACCUGGGGACAUAAAAGGAUCACCAGGUAGUGUUUGAGGUCUAGCUGAGGUUGAAGGUACCAGACUCAUGGCUACACAACUCUCCAUGGCUACACAAAUGCUCAGCAGCUUGUACAUCUUGUCCUGAUCCAGGGUUAGGAGUUCAUGGGGCAGGCAAGGGAGAUGGAAUAAAGUUCAAAAGAGAAUGGCUGGCUUUGGAAAACAGUUUGGUGGUUCCUCAAAAGGUUAAACAUAGUUAAAAUAUGACCCAACAAUCCCACACCUAGGCAUAUACCAAAGGCAACUGAAAACAUAGGUCCACACAAAAACUGGCACAUGAAUGUUCAUAGCAGCAUUAUUCACAAUAGCCACAAAUAGAAACAACCCCGAUGUCCAUCAGCUGAUGAAUGGAUAAAUAUAAUGGGGUAUGUCGAUAUGGUGGAAUAUUGUCCAGCCCUAAAAAGGAAUGAAGUUUGGAUACGUGCUACAACAUGGAUAAACCUUGAAAAUAAUGUAAUUAAAAGAAGCCAGUCAUAAAAGACCACAUAUCGUAUCAUUCCAUUGAUCUGAAAUAUCCAGAAUAAACAAAUGCAAUAGAGGGAAAGUAGAUUAGUGGUUCCCUGGGUCUGAGAAAUGUUGGGGGUCAGAGAAAAUGGGGAGUGACUGUUCAUGGGUACAGGGAAGUAAAAUACUCUAAAAUUGUGGUGACGUGGUGACGUGCUCAACUCUGAGUGUACUAAAAAGCAUUGAAUUGUACACUUGAAAUGAGUGAAUUGUAUGAUAUGUGAGUUAUAUUUCAAUAAAGCUGUUAUUUUUAAAAAGAA
This is a non-coding RNA of Equus caballus (horse), 6217 nucleotides long. NCBI's taxonomy places the organism in Eukaryota, Metazoa, Chordata, Mammalia, Perissodactyla, Equidae. The record is from RefSeq and is a predicted model, not a curated record.